Lonchura striata (white-rumped munia) is the source of this 680-nucleotide non-coding RNA. NCBI's taxonomy places the organism in Eukaryota, Metazoa, Chordata, Aves, Passeriformes, Estrildidae. The record is from RefSeq and is a predicted model, not a curated record.
GGGGGAGCGCGGCACUGGCGGGGCCGUGCCCGCGCUCACGGGCGGGCUCCGGCAGCUCCGGCACGGGCAGGAAAGAACCCCCGGCCGCCUUCACCCCCUCCUUUUCCCCUCCUUUUGCCCCUCGGUUGUACAGCCCAGGACGCGGCUGUCACCGCGCUGCGGUGGGAGAAGGACGAGUCCUCCUGGGGAUCCGCGGCGAGCAGCGGGGAUUUGGCUGUGCGGGCAUCUGCUCGCUGUCUGGCACCUUUGUUUCUCCUCCUCUAGGCAGUGGGGUUUUAUUGGCGCCCAAGUGUCGGUGGCACGGAUCCUUGCGGGCAGCCGGAGCAGGAAAGCGCAGCUGCCUGAACUGAUGCUGGACACAAGGAGUUCAUUGAUGGCUGGAGAGUGGGAAAGGCCUCAGUGAUGGAGUGGGGAAUGUUGGUAGCAAACAGGCUUUGGGCCGAGUGAGGACACUGAGCCAGGAGUCGGACUGGAUGAGCGCAGUUUUGUUACAGCUUGUUUUACACAGCCACCCGUGUCUGGUUUAAAUCUCUUGCACACGCAUCCAUUGGGGAGUUUUCCAUAGCCACAUAUGCCCGAUUCAAAAACUCUUGGACACGCACUGACUGGGGAAGACUACGGGAUUGGAAUGUUUUUAAUCAAAAGCACAUCAGUGUGAAAUAAAAGCUCCCUUUAACCAU